RNAcentral lists this ribosomal RNA (443 nucleotides) under uncultured bacterium. RNAcentral's name for it is "bacterial SSU rRNA". It matches the Rfam family "Bacterial small subunit ribosomal RNA", at positions 28 to 451 of the family's 1533-position model. The record is from RNAcentral.
GAUGAACGCUGGCGGCGUGCUUAACACAUGCAAGUCGAACGAAGCACUUUAUUUGAUUUCCUUCGGGAUUGAUUAUUUUGUGACUGAGUGGCGGACGGGUGAGUAACGCGUGGGUAACCUGCCUUGUACAGGGGGAUAACAGUUGGAAACGGCUGCUAAUACCGCAUAAGCGCACAGCAUCGCAUGAUGCAGUGUGAAAAACUCCGGUGGUAUAAGAUGGACCCGCGUUGGAUUAGCUAGUUGGUGAGGUAACGGCCCACCAAGGCGACGAUCCAUAGCCGACCUGAGAGGGUGACCGGCCACAUUGGGACUGAGACACGGCCCAAACUCCUACGGGAGGCAGCAGUGGGGAAUAUUGCACAAUGGGCGAAAGCCUGAUGCAGCGACGCCGCGUGAGCGAAGAAGUAUUUCGGUAUGUAAAGCUCUAUCAGCAGGGAAGAUAA